Non-coding RNA from Paramuricea clavata, 568 nucleotides. The record is from the annotation of a GenBank genome assembly. NCBI's taxonomy places the organism in Eukaryota, Metazoa, Cnidaria, Anthozoa, Malacalcyonacea, Plexauridae.
GCAUGUGACAACAUGACAUUUUCACUUCACAAGUGGAUUUGUCAAUUACAACAUCUAGCACAUUUUUCCCAUGAAUAGCUCGGGUUUUAAUAAAACAAAGUAUGAUUUAACUUUCAUAAAAUAUAUUUUCUAACUAAAGGCAACGGCCAGUUUUUACGAAAUUGCAAGAGGAAUAUGUGUCAUUUUCAUCAAAAUAUGUAUUUUAAGACACUUAUUAUUCCAGAUGAGGAAGGACAAACAAAGUAUUGAACAUACCUGUGGAAACAGCAACAACUCAUCUUCUAUCAAAAGUAAAAUAUGAACACUUCCUUGUUUCCAUACUGCUGUACCCUGCUUCUGAAUCUCUGACAAUGAGUGAAACAUUUCCACUUGUCGCCCAUUUGUAAAUAAAAAUUCUUCGCACGUUUUCAUGCGAUUAAGUCGUUGUAUCGUUGCGUAAGAGCACUACAACUUAAUCUUUCAACAAACACUUUAUUUUCCAUGAACAAACCAGUAAAAGAGGACAAAAAAUCCUCUCACAAUGCAUAUUUUCAGCGUUCGAAGAAUCAAAAUGUUUGUUAAAGAAAUG